AUUACCUUGAAAUUGCGAUUUAUUUCAUCCAAGAUACUGAAGGAAUCAGCGUGUCCUCCCUGACCGAGCGGUCCGGGUAACCCGCUGAACCUCCUUCGUGCUAGGGAUUGGGGCUUGCAAUUGUUCCCCAUGAACGAGGAAUUCCCAGUAAGCGCGAGUCAUAAGCUCGCGUUGAUUACGUCCCU
This 185-nucleotide non-coding RNA is filed under the name Tribolium castaneum (red flour beetle). RNAcentral's name for it is "Eukaryotic small subunit ribosomal RNA". It matches the Rfam family "Eukaryotic small subunit ribosomal RNA", at positions 1188 to 1654 of the family's 1831-position model. Lineage: Eukaryota; Metazoa; Arthropoda; Insecta; Coleoptera; Tenebrionidae. The record is from Rfam by way of RNAcentral.